This 446-nucleotide ribosomal RNA is filed under the name uncultured bacterium. RNAcentral's name for it is "bacterial SSU rRNA". It matches the Rfam family "Bacterial small subunit ribosomal RNA", at positions 331 to 793 of the family's 1533-position model. The record is from RNAcentral.
CCAGACUCCUACGGGAGGCAGCAGUGGGGAAUAUUGCACAAUGGGGGAAACCCUGAUGCAGCGACGCCGCGUGAGUGAAGAAGUAUUUCGGUAUGUAAAGCUCUAUCAGCAGGGAAGAAAAUGACGGUACCUGAUUAAGAAGCCCCGGCUAACUACGUGCCAGCAGCCGCGGUAAUACGUAGGGGGCAAGCGUUAUCCGGAUUUACUGGGUGUAAAGGGAGCGUAGACGGUUAUGUAAGUCUGGAGUGAAAGCCCGGGGCCCAACCCCGGGACUGCUUUGGAAACUGUGUAACUGGAGUACAGGAGGGGCAGGCGGAAUUCCUAGUGUAGCGGUGAAAUGCGUAGAUAUUAGGAGGAACACCAGUGGCGAAGGCGGCUUACUGGACGACAACUGACGCUGAGGCUCGAAAGCGUGGGGAGCAAACAGGAUUAGAUACCCGAGUAAG